This 255-nucleotide ribosomal RNA is filed under the name uncultured bacterium. Its description in RNAcentral is "partial 16S ribosomal RNA". It matches the Rfam family "Bacterial small subunit ribosomal RNA", at positions 524 to 776 of the family's 1533-position model. The record is from RNAcentral.
UACGUAGGUGGCAAGCGUUGUCCGGAAUUAUUUGGGCGUAAAGCGCGCGCAGGCGGCCUCUUAAGUCUGAUGUGAAAGCCCCCCGGCUCAACCGGGGAGGGCCAUUGGAAACUGGGAGGCUUGAGUAUAGGAGAGAAGAGUGGAAUUCCACGUGUAGCGGUGAAAUGCGUAGAGAUGUGGAGGAACACCAGUGGCGAAGGCGACUCUUUGGCCUAUAACUGACGCUGAGGCGCGAAAGCGUGGGGAGCAAACAGG